This 855-nucleotide ribosomal RNA is filed under the name Corynebacterium sp. RNAcentral's name for it is "bacterial SSU rRNA". It matches the Rfam family "Bacterial small subunit ribosomal RNA", at positions 59 to 918 of the family's 1533-position model. The record is from RNAcentral. Lineage: Bacteria; Bacillati; Actinomycetota; Actinomycetes; Mycobacteriales; Corynebacteriaceae.
CAGUCGAACGGAAGGCCCCUAGCUUGCUGGGGGUACUCGAGUGGCGAACGGGUGAGUAACACGUGGGUGAUCUGCCCUGCACUUCGGGAUAAGCUUGGGAAACUGGGUCUAAUACCGGAUAUGAACGGUCUUUGGUGUGAUUGUUGGAAAGAUUUUUUCGGUGUGGGAUGAGCUCGCGGCCUAUCAGCUUGUUGGUGGGGUAAUGGCCUACCAAGGCGUCGACGGGUAGCCGGCCUGAGAGGGUGUACGGCCACAUUGGGACUGAGAUACGGCCCAGACUCCUACGGGAGGCAGCAGUGGGGAAUAUUGCACAAUGGGCGCAAGCCUGAUGCAGCGACGCCGCGUGGGGGAUGAAGGCCUUCGGGUUGUAAACUCCUUUCGCUAGGGACGAAGCCUUUUUUAAGGUGACGGUACCUGGAUAAGAAGCACCGGCUAACUACGUGCCAGCAGCCGCGGUAAUACGUAGGGUGCAAGCGUUGUCCGGAAUUACUGGGCGUAAAGAGCUCGUAGGUGGUUUGUCGCGUCGUCUGUGAAAUUCCGGGGCUUAACUCCGGGCGUGCAGGCGAUACGGGCAUAACUUGAGUGCUGUAGGGGAGACUGGAAUUCCUGGUGUAGCGGUGAAAUGCGCAGAUAUCAGGAGGAACACCGAUGGCGAAGGCAGGUCUCUGGGCAGUAACUGACGCUGAGGAGCGAAAGCAUGGGUAGCGAACAGGAUUAGAUACCCUGGUAGUCCAUGCCGUAAACGGUGGGCGCUAGGUGUAGGGGGCUUCCACGUCUUCUGUGCCGUAGCUAACGCAUUAAGCGCCCCGCCUGGGGAGUACGGCCGCAAGGCUAAAACUCAAGGAAUUGACGGGG